GACGAACGCUGGCGGCGUGCCUAAUACAUGCAAGUCGAGCGGAGCUUAUCCUUCGGGGUAAGCUUAGCGGCGGACGGGUGAGUAACACGUAGGCAACCUGCCCCUUAGCCUGGGAUAACUACCGGAAACGGUAGCUAAUACCGGAUAAUUUCUUUUUUCUCCUGAAGAGAGAAUGAAAGGCGGAGCAAUCUGCCAUUAAGGGAUGGGCCUGCGGCGCAUUAGCUAGUUGGUGGGGUAACGGCUCACCAAGGCGACGAUACGUAGCUGACCUGAGAGGGUGAACGGCCAAACUGGGACUGAGACACGGCCCAGACUCCUACGGGAGGCAGCAGUAGGGAAUCGUCCGCAAUGGGCGAAAGCCUGACGGAGCAACGCCGCGUGAGUGAUGAAGGUUUUCGGAUCGUAAAGCUCUGUUGCCAGGGAAGAACGUCCGGUAGAGUAACUGCUACCGGAGUGACGGUACCUGAGAAGAAAGCCCCGGCUAACUACGUGCCAGCAGCCGCGGUAA
RNAcentral lists this ribosomal RNA (508 nucleotides) under uncultured bacterium. Its description in RNAcentral is "partial 16S ribosomal RNA". It matches the Rfam family "Bacterial small subunit ribosomal RNA", at positions 28 to 523 of the family's 1533-position model. The record is from RNAcentral.